RNAcentral lists this ribosomal RNA (3019 nucleotides) under Salmonella enterica subsp. enterica serovar Weltevreden. Its description in RNAcentral is "bacterial LSU rRNA". It matches the Rfam family "Bacterial large subunit ribosomal RNA". The record is from RNAcentral. Lineage: Bacteria; Pseudomonadati; Pseudomonadota; Gammaproteobacteria; Enterobacterales; Enterobacteriaceae.
UUAAGCGACUAAGCGUACACGGUGGAUGCCCUGGCAGUCAGAGGCGAUGAAGGGCGUGCUAAUCUGCGAUAAGCGCCGGUAAGGUGAUAUGAACCGUUAUAACCGGCGAUACCCGAAUGGGGAAACCCAGUGUGACUCGUCACACUAUCAUUAACUGAAUCCAUAGGUUAAUGAGGCGAACCGGGGGAACUGAAACAUCUAAGUACCCCGAGGAAAAGAAAUCAACCGAGAUUCCCCCAGUAGCGGCGAGCGAACGGGGAGGAGCCCAGAGCCUGAAUCAGCAUGUGUGUUAGUGGAAGCGUCUGGAAAGGCGCGCGAUACAGGGUGACAGCCCCGUACACAAAAGCGCAUGUGCUGUGAGCUCGAUGAGUAGGGCGGGACACGUGGUAUCCUGUCUGAAUAUGGGGGGACCAUCCUCCAAGGCUAAAUACUCCUGACUGACCGAUAGUGAACCAGUACCGUGAGGGAAAGGCGAAAAGAACCCCGGCGAGGGGAGUGAAAAAGAACCUGAAACCGUGUACGUACAAGCAGUGGGAGCCCCACCACCAAAGCGUUUCGCUUUGUGUGGUGCACAAAGAAGCGUAACGACAGCACUGAAUGACGGUUAACGGAGCGCAAGCGACGUUCAACAUACAAAGUCAAGCAGUGGAGCGCUUUGGGGUGGGGUGACUGCGUACCUUUUGUAUAAUGGGUCAGCGACUUAUAUUCUGUAGCAAGGUUAACCGAAUAGGGGAGCCGGAGGGAAACCGAGUCUUAAUUGGGCGUUAAGUUGCAGGGUAUAGACCCGAAACCCGGUGAUCUAGCCAUGGGCAGGUUGAAGGUUGGGUAACACUAACUGGAGGACCGAACCGACUAAUGUUGAAAAAUUAGCGGAUGACCUGUGGCUGGGGGUGAAAGGCCAAUCAAACCGGGAGAUAGCUGGUUCUCCCCGAAAGCUAUUUAGGUAGCGCCUCGUGAAUUCAUCUCCGGGGGUAGAGCACUGUUUCGGCUAGGGGGCCAUCCCGGCUUACCAACCCGAUGCAAACUGCGAAUACCGGAGAAUGUUAUCACGGGAGACACACGGCGGGUGCUAACGUCCGUCGUGAAGAGGGAAACAACCCAGACCGCCAGCUAAGGUCCCAAAGUCAUGGUUAAGUGGGAAACGAUGUGGGAAGGCCCAGACAGCCAGGAUGUUGGCUUAGAAGCAGCCAUCAUUUAAAGAAAGCGUAAUAGCUCACUGGUCGAGUCGGCCUGCGCGGAAGAUGUAACGGGGCUAAACCAUGCACCGAAGCUGCGGCAGCGACGCUUAUGCGUUGUUGGGUAGGGGAGCGUUCUGUAAGCCUGUGAAGGUGGCCUGUGAGGGUUGCUGGAGGUAUCAGAAGUGCGAAUGCUGACAUAAGUAACGAUAAAGCGGGUGAAAAGCCCGCUCGCCGGAAGACCAAGGGUUCCUGUCCAACGUUAAUCGGGGCAGGGUGAGUCGACCCCUAAGGCGAGGCCGAAAGGCGUAGUCGAUGGGAAACGGGUUAAUAUUCCCGUACUUGGUGUUACUGCGAAGGGGGGACGGAGAAGGCUAUGUUGGCCGGGCGACGGUUGUCCCGGUUUAAGCGUGUAGGUGUGUGUUCCAGGUAAAUCCGGUUCACUUUAACACUGAGGCGUGAUGACGAGGCACUACGGUGCUGAAGCAACAAAUGCCCUGCUUCCAGGAAAAGCCUCUAAGCAUCAGGUAACAUCAAAUCGUACCCCAAACCGACACAGGUGGUCAGGUAGAGAAUACCAAGGCGCUUGAGAGAACUCGGGUGAAGGAACUAGGCAAAAUGGUGCCGUAACUUCGGGAGAAGGCACGCUGACANGUAGGUGAAGUGAUUUACUCAUGGAGCUGAAGUCAGUCGAAGAUACCAGCUGGCUGCAACUGUUUAUUAAAAACACAGCACUGUGCAAACACGAAAGUGGACGUAUACGGUGUGACGCCUGCCCGGUGCCGGAAGGUUAAUUGAUGGGGUCAGCGCAAGCGAAGCUCCUGAUCGAAGCCCCGGUAAACGGCGGCCGUAACUAUAACGGUCCUAAGGUAGCGAAAUUCCUUGUCGGGUAAGUUCCGACCUGCACGAAUGGCGUAAUGAUGGCCAGGCUGUCUCCACCCGAGACUCAGUGAAAUUGAACUCGCUGUGAAGAUGCAGUGUACCCGCGGCAAGACGGAAAGACCCCGUGAACCUUUACUAUAGCUUGACACUGAACAUUGAGCCUUGAUGUGUAGGAUAGGUGGGAGGCUUUGAAGUGUGGACGCCAGUCUGCAUGGAGCCGACCUUGAAAUACCACCCUUUAAUGUUUGAUGUUCUAACGUGGACCCGUGAUCCGGGUUGCGGACAGUGUCUGGUGGGUAGUUUGACUGGGGCGGUCUCCUCCUAAAGAGUAACGGAGGAGCACGAAGGUUGGCUAAUCCUGGUCGGACAUCAGGAGGUUAGUGCAAUGGCAUAAGCCAGCUUGACUGCGAGCGUGACGGCGCGAGCAGGUGCGAAAGCAGGUCAUAGUGAUCCGGUGGUUCUGAAUGGAAGGGCCAUCGCUCAACGGAUAAAAGGUACUCCGGGGAUAACAGGCUGAUACCGCCCAAGAGUUCAUAUCGACGGCGGUGUUUGGCACCUCGAUGUCGGCUCAUCACAUCCUGGGGCUGAAGUAGGUCCCAAGGGUAUGGCUGUUCGCCAUUUAAAGUGGUACGCGAGCUGGGUUUAGAACGUCGUGAGACAGUUCGGUCCCUAUCUGCCGUGGGCGCUGGAGAACUGAGGGGGGCUGCUCCUAGUACGAGAGGACCGGAGUGGACGCAUCACUGGUGUUCGGGUUGUCAUGCCAAUGGCACUGCCCGGUAGCUAAAUGCGGAAGAGAUAAGUGCUGAAAGCAUCUAAGCACGAAACUUGCCCCGAGAUGAGUUCUCCCUGAGACUUUAGGUCUCCUGAAGGAACGUUGAAGACGACGACGUUGAUAGGCCGGGUGUGUAAGCGCAGCGAUGCGUUGAGCUAACCGGUACUAAUGAACCGUGAGGCUUAACCUU